Molecule: ribosomal RNA, 468 nt
Filed under: uncultured bacterium
Lineage: Bacteria
Description: partial 16S ribosomal RNA
Rfam family: Bacterial small subunit ribosomal RNA
Source: RNAcentral
GACGAACGCUGGCGGCGUGCUUAACACAUGCAAGUCGAACGGAAAGGCCCUGCUUUUGUGGGGUGCUCGAGUGGCGAACGGGUGAGUAACACGUGAGUAACCUGCCCUUGACUUUGUGAUAACUUCAGGAAACUGGGGCUAAUACCGGAUAGGAGCUCCUGCUGCGUGGUGGGGGUUGGAAAGUGUCGGCGGUUGGGGAUGGACUCGCGGCUUAUCAGCUUGUUGGUGGGGUAGUGGCUUACCAAGGCUUUGACGGGUAGCCGGCCUGAGAGGGUGACCGGCCACAUUGGGACUGAGAUACGGCGCAGACUCCUACGGGAGGCAGCAGUGGGGAAUAUUGCACAAUGGGCGGAAGCCUGAUGCAGCAACGCCGCGUGCGGGAUGACGGCCUUCGGGUUGUAAACCGCUUUCGCCUGUGACGAAGAGUGAGUGACGGUAAUGGGUAAAGAAGCACCGGCUAACUACGUG